This 906-nucleotide ribosomal RNA is filed under the name uncultured bacterium. RNAcentral describes it as "bacterial SSU rRNA". It matches the Rfam family "Bacterial small subunit ribosomal RNA", at positions 9 to 873 of the family's 1533-position model. The record is from RNAcentral.
AGAGUUUGAUCCUGGCUCAGGACGAACGCUGGCGGCGUGCUUAACACAUGCAAGUCGAACGGAGAUUAUUAAUGAAGCUUGCGAUUUAAUAAUCUUAGUGGCGGACGGGUGAGUAACGCGUGGGCAACCUACCCAUAAGCGGGGGAUAACAGUUGGAAACGACUGCUAAUACCGCAUAAGCUAUUAAGGUCACAUGACCUUAAUAGUAAAGGUGGCGAUUUUACAUUGCUAUCACUUAUGGAUGGGCCCGCGUCUGAUUAGCUAGUUGGUGGGAUAGCAGCCUACCAAGGCAACGAUCAGUAGCCGGCCUGAGAGGGUGGACGGCCACACUGGGACUGAGACACGGCCCAGACUCCUACGGGAGGCAGCAGUGGGGAAUAUUGCGCAAUGGGGGAAACCCUGACGCAGCGACGCCGCGUGAGCAAGAAGGCCUUAGGGUCGUAAAGCUCUGUUGUAAGGGACGAAUGUUUAUCUGGCGAACAGUCAGAUAAAGUGACGGUACCUUACCAGCAAGCCCCGGCUAACUACGUGCCAGCAGCCGCGGUAAGACGUAGGGGGCGAGCGUUGUCCGGAAUUACUGGGCGUAAAGAGCACGUAGGCGGGUAAUUAAGUCAGAUGUGAAAGACCGGGGGCCCAACCUCGGGGUUGCAUCUGAAACUGGUCAUCUUGAGGGCAGGAGAGGAAAGUGGRAUUCCUGGUGUAGCGGUGAAAUGCGUAGAAAUCAGGAGGAAUACCAGUGGCGAAGGCGGCUUUCUGGACUGACCCUGACGCUGAGGUGCGAAACGUGGGGUAGCAAACAGGAUUAGAUACCCUGGUAGUCCACGCUGURAACGAUGGAUACUAGGUGUGGGAGGUAUCGACCCCUUCCGUGCCGGAGCUAACGCAAUAAGUUUCCGCUGGGGAGAG